CCCCGUAGUACUGCGAGUGAAGCGGGAAAAGCUCAAAUUUAAAAUCUGGUGGUCUUUGGCCAUCCGAGUUGUAAUCUAGAGAAGUGUUAUCCGCGCUGGACCGUGUACAAGUCCCCUGGAAUGGGAGCGUCAUAGAGGGUGAGAAUCCCGUCUUUGACACGGACUACCAGGGCUUUGUGAUGCACUCUCAAAGAGUCGAGUUGUUUGGGAAUGCAGCUCAAAAUGGGUGGUAAAUUCCAUCUAAAGCUAAAUAUUGGCGAGAGACCGAUAGCGAACAAGUACCGUGAGGGAAAGAUGAAAAGAACUUUGGAAAGAGAGUUAAACAGUACGUGAAAUUGUUGAAAGGGAAACGCUUGAAGUCAGUCGCGUCUGCCAGGGAUCAACCUUACUUUUGUGAGGCGUACUUCCUGGUUGAUGGGUCAGCAUCAGUUUUGGUUGCUGGAUAAAGGUCAGAGAAAUGUGGCACCUUCGGGUGUGUUAUAGUCUUGAUCAGAUACAGUGGCUGGACUGAG
Molecule: ribosomal RNA, 512 nt
Filed under: Pleurotus eryngii
Lineage: Eukaryota; Fungi; Basidiomycota; Agaricomycetes; Agaricales; Pleurotaceae
Description: eukaryotic LSU rRNA
Rfam family: Eukaryotic large subunit ribosomal RNA
Source: RNAcentral